AUUGAACGCUGGCGGCAGGCCUAACACAUGCAAGUCGAGCGGAGCGGCGGACGGGUGAGUAAUGCCUAGGAAUCUGCCUGGUAGUGGGGGAUAACGUCCGGAAACGGGCGCUAAUACCGCAUACUAUCAGAUGAGCCUAGGUCGGAUUAGCUAGUUGGUGGGGUACAGGCCUACCAAGGCGACGAUCCGUAACUGGUCUGAGAGGAUGAUCAGUCACCCUGGAACUGAGACACGGUCCCGACGCCUACGGGAGCCAGCAGAGGGGAAUAUGGGACACGGGGCCAAAGCCUGGUCCAGUCAUGACGCGUGUGUGAAGAAGGUCUUCGAACUUUAAAGCACUUUAAGUUGGGAGGCGUGACCAACAGAUUAGGCACCGGCUAACUGCGUGCCAGCAGCCGCGGUAAUAC
Molecule: ribosomal RNA, 407 nt
Filed under: uncultured bacterium
Lineage: Bacteria
Description: partial 16S ribosomal RNA
Rfam family: Bacterial small subunit ribosomal RNA
Source: RNAcentral